Bactrocera oleae (olive fruit fly) is the source of this 1241-nucleotide non-coding RNA. Lineage: Eukaryota; Metazoa; Arthropoda; Insecta; Diptera; Tephritidae. The record is from RefSeq and is a predicted model, not a curated record.
CAAAGCGUUUGUCAAAAAUCUCAAGUUCUAAUCAAUUAAUUUAAAAUUUGCCAUGAACUUUAUUUAUACCAUAUUCUUUUAUGGAGGGAAGCAACAACAAAUCAAAAUUUUUAAACUGUGCUAUUUUUUAAAUUCGAUCAACAGAAGAGUGGAAAUCGUGCCAAGGAGAACACGAAAUCAAGGCUUGUAUGGAAAGAUGUUUCCGAAUCCGAUUUCCGAGGAAAUUGUUCAGAUCGAGACACUAUAGCAUAUAGAUGCCAUACAAACUGACCGAUCAAAAUCAAUUUCUUGUAAGAAAUCCUUUGUAUUUGCGAGAGCUAUUAUAGCUUCGGUACAACCAAAGUCAAUGUCGUAUUUUUCAUUUAUUGAAGUUGACUUUUUAUGUGCCGAGUUCCUACCAUCGAAAGGAGAGGCGUCCGUUGGCAGCCGCACUUCAGGGUCACUGCAUAUUUGCCUUGAUUUUGUACAUACUCGUAUACAACUUAUAUAUACAGUAAAUUAUGUAUAAAAAGGAGGAAAUUAAAUUGUCAUUAAAAACCUUUGAAUUUCUAAACAUCAUAAUUAUACAAAAGCAGUAAAAAAAAAGUAAGAAAACGUUGCUAAUAUGCGCGAUUACUUAUAUUCACAAAAAAAUAAAAAAUAAAAAAAAAGAUCAACAACAGGAAGCCAUUUAUCAGAUAUAGUAAGAGUGUAAUGAUUUCCGUAAUCCCCAAACCAGUAGGGGUCAACAUGGCGAAUGAAUGGAAUCGUCGCAUGAAUCUUUAAUAUUGAGGAAGCUGAUCAAUUGAAGUGUAAUAAAAAUUGUUGUAUGCGAAAUGAUGUGCGAAAAGAGAGUGAAUGUGCAAAAUGUUCAUAAAUCGACAUUACCUUCAUGAAUAUACAUAUAAAUAUGUAAAUAUAUGUGUACAUACUAGAAAAAUUGUCUGUUACAAGUCAAGUGCAAUACAACAAAAGGAUCAUACAGAAUUUGCAAUCACAUAGACGGUAUCUUGCCAAUUUUGUACUUACUUCAGCUUUAUACAGCGGGUAGUGAACCGGGGCCUGAAGUGUUCCUCUGGAAAUCUACGAAAUAUUCAUUGAAAUUGUACAUAUAGUACAUUGUUUUAUUGGCCCUAAACUACAAUAUAAAUGCGUCUAAUGAACCUUUUAGAUUAAGAAACGUCUGCUGUAUUGUUUGACAUCUUUACCUGGAAGAUAUGUAUACUCGGGUCUUUAAGAUUAGUAUUGGUAUUAGUUUUCAG